This 492-nucleotide ribosomal RNA is filed under the name uncultured bacterium. Its description in RNAcentral is "partial 16S ribosomal RNA". It matches the Rfam family "Bacterial small subunit ribosomal RNA", at positions 29 to 507 of the family's 1533-position model. The record is from RNAcentral.
AGUGAACGCUGGCGGUAGGCCUAACACAUACAAGUCGAACGGCAGCACAGUAAGAGCUUGCUCUUACGGGUGGCGAGUGGCGGACGGGUGAGGAAUACAUCGGAAUCUACUUUUUCGUGGGGGAUAACGUAGGGAAACUUACGCUAAUACCGCAUACGACCUACGGGUGAAAGCAGGGGAUCUUCGGACCUUGCGCGAUUGAAUGAGCCGAUGUCGGAUUAGCUAGUUGGCGGGGUAAAGGCCCACCAAGGCGACGAUCCGUAGCUGGUCUGAGAGGAUGAUCAGCCACACUGGAACUGAGACACGGUCCAGACUCCUACGGGAGGCAGCAGUGGGGAAUAUUGGACAAUGGGCGCAAGCCUGAUCCAGCCAUACCGCGUGGGUGAAGAAGGCCUUCGGGUUGUAAAGCCCUUUUGUUGGGAAAGAAAAGCAGCAGGUUAAUACCCCGCUGUUCUGACGGUGCCCAAAGAAUAAGCACCGGCUAACUUCGCG